UACGUAGGGUGCAAGCGUUGUCCGGAAUUAUUGGGCGUAAAGAGCUCGUAGGUGGCUUGUCGCGUCUGCUGUGAAAUCUCAAGGCUCAACCUUGAGCUUGCAGUGGGUACGGGCAGACUAGAGUGUGGUAGGGGAGACUGGAAUUCCUGGUGUAGCGGUGAAAUGCGCAGAUAUCAGGAGGAACACCGAUGGCGAAGGCAGGUCUCUGGGCCACUACUGACGCUGAGAAGCGAAAGCAUGGGGAGCGAACAGG
Molecule: ribosomal RNA, 253 nt
Filed under: uncultured bacterium
Lineage: Bacteria
Description: partial 16S ribosomal RNA
Rfam family: Bacterial small subunit ribosomal RNA
Source: RNAcentral